AUUUUAAUAGCUUAAAAUUAAAGCUUGAUUUUGAAGUUAUCACAAUGAAUAUUAUAUUCUUAAAAUA
RNAcentral lists this transfer RNA (67 nucleotides) under Chudania hellerina. RNAcentral's name for it is "tRNA-Phe". Lineage: Eukaryota; Metazoa; Arthropoda; Insecta; Hemiptera; Cicadellidae. The record is from RNAcentral.